AGCAGCCGCGGUAAUUCCAGCUCCAAUAGCGUAUAUUAAAGUUGUUGCAGUUAAAAAGCUCGUAGUUGAAUUUCGGGAUCAGUUGGUCGGUCGUGCCUCGGUACGUACUGGUCAAAUUGAUUCCUACCUUCUGACGAACCACGAUGUCAUUAAUUUGGUGUCGCGGGAAAUCAGGACUGUUACUUUAGAAAAAAUUAGAGUGUUUAAAGCAGGCUCGCGCUUGAAUACAUUAGCGUGGAAUAAUAG
Molecule: ribosomal RNA, 246 nt
Filed under: uncultured Glomus
Lineage: Eukaryota; Fungi; Glomeromycota; Glomeromycetes; Glomerales; Glomeraceae
Description: partial 18S ribosomal RNA
Rfam family: Eukaryotic small subunit ribosomal RNA
Source: RNAcentral